CUGUAGGCUCCGCUGCUGUUCGGAAUGUUGAUACCGGACUGAGGUCUGGUCCCGGAGCCUCCGGAGCCCCCCACAGACCUGGCCCUGGCUCCAAGGUGCUGGCUAGUGCUGGACGAGGCUCCGGAGGCUCCGGACGCACUAACUUCACAGAAACCCCCCGACCAGUGUUGGAGGUGUAACUGCAGAGUGACACAGACACACCACCGCACAAGUUACAAACUCUAUACUUCAGAGGCUCCACUAUUGUCCUGGUCCAAAAAAAUCCCUCCAUUAGUAGAUAAAAUGACAAAAGCCUGCCACCUGACAUCUGUGGUCAUGAAAUCCUCUAAAAGACUGUUGCUGACUCACCUGAAGGACAUCACAGCUCUCUGCUGGACCCCCUGCAGAUUGCUUACUGCGCAAACAGGUCAGUGGAUGAUGGAGUCAAAAUGGGACUGUGUUACAUCAACACUUCAACUUCCCAGGGACAUUCGUAAGAAUCUUGUUCAUUGUUCAACAACACCACUCAACACCACCAUCCCAGACAUCCAUCACACCAAACUCACUCAGCUCACUGUGACAGCCCCCACCUGUCAGUGGAUCACAACCGUCUCGACAGACCGGGGGCAGCAGGUGGCGAGGCAAGGGGAAAUCACAUCCAGCACCCAAAGCAUCAGCACUGGCAGCCCCCAGCAAUGUGUGCUCUUCCCACUGCUUCUCUCUCUACACCAACAACUGUGCCUUAGGAGUCUGUUAAACUCCUGAAGUUUGCAAAUGAUACAAGUGUCAUCUGCCUUAUCUGGUGAUCCUGUGUGGUCAGAACAACCUGGAACUGAACGCUCUAAAAAACUGUGGAGAUGAUAGUGGAUUUCAGGAUGAGCCCUCCAACACUGCCCUCCCUCACCAUACUGAACAGCUCUGCGUCUGCUAUGGCAGCCAUCAGGUUUCUGGGUCCGCAAGUGGACUUCCAAAAUAGACACUAUCAGGGAAAAAGGCUUGGCAGAGGAUGUACUGCCUGCACCAGCUCAGUGAGUUGCACCUGCCUCAGGAGCUGCUAAUACAAUUCUACACAGCAAUAAUCCAGUCCACUCUCUGCACAUCCAUCACUGUCUGGUUUGGAUCAGCCAAACAGGACAGGAACAGACUACAGCGGACAGUCAGGACUGUAAAAAAAUAGUCAUUGGUGCAGCCUACCCUUAAUUCAGGACUUAUAUACCUCCAGAGUCAGGAAACGGGCAGGUAACAUCACUGCAGACCCUCACAGCCUGUACACACAACCUGUUUGAACUCUCUGUCCAUCAGCCCCUGGUCACUCCUUGGCAGUGCUACUGCUGUAGUUUGCUGUUUGUAUUGUGUUACAUAGUAAGGUGUUUCUUAGUCUACCUGAAUUUAUAUAAAUACUGUCAAUACCGUUAUUGAUAUUAAUUCAUUGAGCAGGACACUUCACAGAGAAACAAGCUACAGCAACAAUAUUGACUCUGUGAGGCUGCAAAGCAGUGCUUCAGGCUCACAUUAGCAUGCUAAUAUGCUUAAAAUUAAAAUGUUAACAUGGUGAUUUUAAGCAGGCAGUGUUUACUAUGGUCACUAUCUGAGUCUUGCUGAUUCACGCUACUUAACAAUACACACAAGGUACAAUAUCUAAUAGUUGUUAAGAAAUAAACCCACUGACAUCUGCCAGACUGCUAAUGUGGCUAAAAGAAAACUUGUCUCUGCUCUCAGGCGAACAGACUAUAUAAAAACAACACUAUCCCUGAGUGACAUACUUUGGCAUGUUUAUACUGUUUCUGAUUAUAUAUUGGCACCGACAUAUAAGCUAAUACCUGGCUCUAAUGUUGUACCUUUAAAGGGCAUCACCACCUAAAUUAAGAAUUCCAAUAUGUUAUUCAAAUGGCCCCGGAAAGCUCAGUCCAUAUUUAUACACAUUAGCUACUCUUUCUCAAAGCCACAAACCAGAAAAGUAAGUCUCAAACUUGUGAUUUCAUCAAGUAUAAAGUCUGCAGCUGCUCCAUAAACAAUGAGUAAGAGACUGAUUUUGUGGACACACAGAAUGUUUGUUUGCUUUUUUAUACUCGUGAGUUUUAUUCUACUAUAGUGUUCUCAGUUAUGUUAUCAUAUACACAAAACAUUCCCCUGGGUGCUGCUGGAUGUCAUCUACAACAUCUUACACAAUUCAUUGUCUAUGUAGCAGCCCGAGUUUAUACCCCAUGACAGUGAUACUCACCUCAAGGCCCGUGGGCCAGAUAGAGUGCCAGGUGGUCCACCGACCAUUUUCUUAUUCACUUUGAAAAUAUAUUGAUUCACUCUGGGAUUUCUUUUAAAAUUUGAAUUUAAAUAAGGUGCCAGAGUGCAGAGAGAGAGCAUCAAAGUAGAACUUGUUUAUCAAAAUAAAGUUCCAGCAGAGGAUCCCCAGGGACUCUGUCGAGGUGUCUGGGGGAUAUUGUGAGCACACAAUGUCCUCAUAUCCUAGAAACAUCCCUGUUUACACCUGACCUGUGCUGCGCUGCUGCCACAGGAUUUGCCUCUUGGCGAAGAUAAGCGAGGACAAGAGAAAAUGUUGAAAUGUUCAAAACAGGCAAUUUAUUUAUGCUGAUAAAUAUAGUAUAGUAUAGUAUAGUAUAGUAUAUAGUUAACUGUGUGGCCCCCAGGCAAAGCAAGCUGAGUAUCCCUGCCAUAUAACAUCACAAACUGGAGUUUUGGCACUUUAGUUUUUUGAUUUAGUAGUCUUGUUCCUCUUUACUUAUAUUUUUUGGACUCUCUUCGACCAUAGGAAUAACAUGUAUGAAUUCUGAAAAUAUGGAGUUCCCCAAGUACAAACCUGUAGACCUGUAAUCUACAUUAGACAAUUAUUUAUCACAAUUAUUAUCAUGACUGCUGUUUAUUGUUGGCAGUGCUCCUUAUCUUUCCACAGUAAUGCACUGCAUCAUUUUAUGUAGCCGUCCUGUUCAACUGAGCACACACAACAAUUAUGUAACAACAAUAAAUGCACUUUUAUUUAGAACAAUUGCCAUAAUCUCAAGAUAGCAAAAAACAAACUGAACCAAACAAACAGAAAAACCUACUAUGAUAUGCUUUGCAAAACUGUGAGCAGUUAUGUAAAGUACACUGUACAUCACCUGUAAACUCACUGUAAAGUGUAAAAUACUUACAUGGUACUUAAGGGAAAAAUAUAUAAUACUAUUAGGGACUGGUUGUUAUUUGUGAGGGAGGAAGGGAUGAUGC
This is a long non-coding RNA of Epinephelus moara (kelp grouper), 3198 nucleotides long. RefSeq lists it as uncharacterized. The record is from RefSeq and is a predicted model, not a curated record. NCBI's taxonomy places the organism in Eukaryota, Metazoa, Chordata, Actinopteri, Perciformes, Serranidae. The transcript is spliced from 3 exons.